AUUGAACGCUGGCGGCAGGCCUAACACAUGCAAGUCGAACGGCAGCACAGAAGAGCUUGCUCUUUGGGUGGCGAGUGGCGGACGGGUGAGUAAUGUCUGGGAAACUGCCCGAUGGAGGGGGAUAACUACUGGAAACGGUAGCUAAUACCGCAUAACGUCGCAAGACCAAAGUGGGGGACCUUCGGGCCUCACACCAUCGGAUGUGCCCAGAUGGGAUUAGCUAGUAGGUGGGGUAAUGGCUCACCUAGGCGACGAUCCCUAGCUGGUCUGAGAGGAUGACACGACACACUAGAGAGGAGACACGGUCCAGACUCCUAAGGGAGGCAGCAGUGGGGAAUAUUGCACAAUGGGCGCAAGCCUGAUGCAGCCAUGCCGCGUGUAUGAAGAAGGCCUUCGGGUUGUAAAGUACUUUCAGCGGGGAGGAAGGCGGUGAGGUUAAUAACCUUGCCGAUUGACGUUACCCGCAGAAGAAGCACCGGCUAACUCCGUGCCAGCCGCCGCUGUAA
This 506-nucleotide ribosomal RNA is filed under the name uncultured bacterium. RNAcentral describes it as "partial 16S ribosomal RNA". It matches the Rfam family "Bacterial small subunit ribosomal RNA", at positions 30 to 523 of the family's 1533-position model. The record is from RNAcentral.